CGGGAUUGAAGCGGUCACGGGGCCGGGGCUGCUCCCUCGGGCCGGUUCGGGGGCGGACGGGGCAGAGACUUCACCGGGUCCGAGCGCGGCGCUGCCCUCACUGCAUCGGGUGCAAUUAAGAGGCCAGCCUGGCGUCACGAAGCCAUCAGUGUGGAGAGACCUGAAUCCUGACCGGCUCCCAUGUGUGUUAUCACCCCUGGCCAUCCGUCUGUCCAUGGUCACAUCGCGGUGAUGCUGCAGUAACGGACCUCGACUACAUUAGAUGAGGUCUGUUUAACUUCAAUGCUGCCUGAGCCCUUCAGGUGGUGGCACAGGGCACAAGCAGGGGGGAGUGGUGGUGUUGAAUGGUGACCACAGCACAACCAGGGCUGUGUUGGUGCCAUGUUCAUCGCCUCAGCAACCCUGUGUUUUACAGGCAACCCACCAAUGCGGCACUGCUGGCUGGGCCGUGAUGCCCAGGACAGCACCAGCAGCACAUCCCUCCUGUCCCCCUUCUCCCACUGCAGUGGGACACGGCUCGGAGAAGCCGUCUUUCCCUUUAAGCUUCCUCCCAGUUUAAUUGGAUAGCUUCGAGCCCCAGCUCAUGAUUUCUGCAGCAAUUUGGUCUGAGAUUUCUUCCUUUGCCUCCAUUAUCCACUCUGAUUAACUGAGGUGCCCCUGUCAGCGCUGCUCGGUGGCGCGGGGAGCGCCGGCGAGAACCUGUUAAAAUGCAUGAGCCUCUCCUGGCCAGCGAUGCCCAACUGCAGGACGGGGGUGCAGCUGUGGGGUGGGGGGGGCUGUCCGGGGCUGGUGGCGGUGCUGGGGUCCCGCGGGGUGGAGGGCUGCAGGCAGGGCCCCACCAUCCUCCGUACUGCGGCUUUUCCACUUCGCAGGCGCUCAUUUCACAUUCCAGCUCCAACUUGUUCCCUGUUUUUCCAUUUUAAUAACAGCAAAAGCAUCCGGAAACACUGCAGCACCCGCGGAAGAGCGAGAGCUGACAUAAUUAAAAAGUGGCUUCAAUCAGG
Molecule: long non-coding RNA, 1004 nt
Organism: Pezoporus occidentalis (night parrot)
Lineage: Eukaryota; Metazoa; Chordata; Aves; Psittaciformes; Psittacidae
Exons: 2
Source: RefSeq, a predicted model, not a curated record